Molecule: ribosomal RNA, 474 nt
Filed under: Latilactobacillus sakei
Lineage: Bacteria; Bacillati; Bacillota; Bacilli; Lactobacillales; Lactobacillaceae
Description: bacterial SSU rRNA
Rfam family: Bacterial small subunit ribosomal RNA
Source: RNAcentral
AAUCGAGAGUUUGAUCCUGGCUCAGGACGAACGCUGGCGGCGUGCCUAAUACAUGCAAGUCGAACGCACUCUCGUUUAGAUUGAAGGAGCUUGCUCCUGAUUGAUAAACAUUUGAGUGAGUGGCGGACGGGUGAGUAACACGUGGGUAACCUGCCCUAAAGUGGGGGAUAACAUUUGGAAACAGAUGCUAAUACCGCAUAAAACCUAACACCGCAUGGUGUAGGGUUGAAAGAUGGUUUCGGCUAUCACUUUAGGAUGGACCCGCGGUGCAUUAGUUAGUUGGUGAGGUAAAGGCUCACCAAGACCGUGAUGCAUAGCCGACCUGAGAGGGUAAUCGGCCACACUGGGACUGAGACACGGCCCAGACUCCUACGGGAGGCAGCAGUAGGGAAUCUUCCACAAUGGACGAAAGUCUGAUGGAGCAACGCCGCGUGAGUGAAGAAGGUUUUCGGAUCGUAAAACUCUGUUGUUGGA